CAUGCGUAGUGGGCUUCUCGGGCGGUGGGGUGGGCGCGGAAUUUGGCGACCCACUUCGGGAAAGUCAGGAUGGUGGUGCCUUCGCUGAAGCUUCAGGACCUCAUCGAAGAGAUUCGCGGGGCCAAGACUCAGGCCCAGGAGCGGGAGGUGAUCCAAAAGGAGUGUGCCCACAUCCGGGCCUCCUUCCGCGACGGGGACCCAGUGCACAGGCACCGGCAGCUGGCCAAACUGCUCUACGUCCACAUGUUGGGCUACCCCGCCCACUUUGGACAGUGACCUGAGCCAGGGGAUUCAGCCAGUACAAGGCCUGGCCUUGUGCACUUUGAGCACCAUGGGCUCUGCUGAGAUGUGCCGAGACCUGGCCCCAGAAGUGGAGAAACUGCUCCUGCAGCCCAGUCCCUACGUGCGCAAGAAGGCUAUUCUGACUGCAGUGCACAUGAUCCGGAAGGUCCCUGAACUCUCCAGUGUCUUCCUCCCACCCUGUGCUCAACUGCUUCAUGAGCGUCACCAUGGUAAGGCUGUGGGGCUCCCCAUCCUUUGCUUCAGCUCUAUGGACAGAAGAAUUGAAAAUCGGAUGGGAACCCCAGCUCACAGGAGAAGGGUAGUGCACACACACAGGCACACACGCAAUAGACUCUCUUGCCCCUGGCCCCCACCAUUCACUUCCCCGACCCUGACCCCAGGCAUCCUGCUGGGCACCAUCACGCUGAUCACGGAGCUCUGCGAACGAAGCCCUGCAGCCCUCAGGCACUUCCGAAAGGUGGUACCCCAGCUGGUACAGAUCCUCCGGACUCUGGUGACAACGGGAUACUCCACAGAACACAGCAUAUCUGGAGUCAGCGACCCCUUCCUGCAGGUGGGGUGACCUUUCACUGCUGUAUCCCUGGAUCAGAGAGGGCAUAGCAGUAAGACCAUGACCAGUGGUUU
This 927-nucleotide small RNA is filed under the name Pongo abelii (Sumatran orangutan). Its description in RNAcentral is "retained intron". The record is from RNAcentral. Lineage: Eukaryota; Metazoa; Chordata; Mammalia; Primates; Hominidae.